This 402-nucleotide long non-coding RNA is filed under the name Sorghum bicolor (sorghum). RNAcentral's name for it is "long non-coding RNA (SBIC_LNC015183)". Lineage: Eukaryota; Viridiplantae; Streptophyta; Magnoliopsida; Poales; Poaceae. The record is from RNAcentral.
CGAUCUCGCAUCAUCUCUUGUGUUUGUUUAUCAAUUCCGCCAGCUACUUGUACAUAAAUCAAGUCAAAAACAAACUUUCUAUAGAUCUUACAAAAAGUUUCGAUUAUUGUUGUCAUCAAAACACUUGAGUAAAACAAAUUGCAAUUCACACAAGAGAGGAACAAUUCAACCAUACUCAAGAACGCAUACAUGGCGAUGCAAUGCAAGCCAGAAAAUUAAACAAAUCCAGUGGAUGUCAUGUAACACUAGCUCAAACACGAUUCAAAUAUAAACCAACUGGAGUGUUGGGGAGUCUAGUAACGGCCAAAUAUCGUUGUUUAAUUGGGAGAAUUAAUGAAAUUCGAUCGAUCAUCCCUCAAAUCAUAGUAUCCAGCUCGGCCUCGGACAGGGAGGAAAUGGUCG